AUGGAAUGGAAUUGUGUGGAAUUGAAUAGAAUGGAAUGGAGUGUAAAGGAAUUGAAUAGAAUCAACCCGAAUGGAAUGGAAUGGAAUGGAACGGAAUGGAAUGGAAUGGAAUGGAAUGGAAUGCAAUGGAAUGGAAAGGAAUGGAAUCAACCCGAGUGGAAUGGCAUGGAAUGGAAUGGAAUGGAAUGGAAUGGAAUGGAAUGGAAUGGUACGGAAUAGAAUGGAAUGGAACGAAAUGGAAUGAAAUGGAUUCAACCGAAUUGGAGUGGAAUGGAAUGGAAUGGAAUUGUGUGGAAUGGAAUGGAA
Molecule: long non-coding RNA, 306 nt
Filed under: Homo sapiens (human)
Lineage: Eukaryota; Metazoa; Chordata; Mammalia; Primates; Hominidae
Description: HSALNT0326458
Source: RNAcentral